CUCUCCACCGGAAGUGGGGAGAAGUUACGACCGAGAGCCUGACACCUGAUGCUUGCUCUUUUGUCUCGCGAAGUUGGGCCAGUAUUUGACCACCUUGGGCGGCGGAUGAUUAUGGUGUCCCGGUAUAUGUCUUACCUAAAAGCAGAGAGCAGUUGUUUCUACGCUUGGAUCAUUCAGAGAGUAUGCAGCCGCAACCAUGCCUUGGAUGUGUGUAAUUCAAGUGGAGAAGACACAAGCCAGUGGUCAUAAUAUCAACACUUGAGUGUUCUGUAAACGAUUUAUCGGAGGUUGCAGCCAAACAUGGCCAUGAGGUAAACCCUGCCCCUGGUUGAAAUUUAGUUUCAUCAGCUUCUACACAGGAUUGUAAGGACUUGGAAUAUAUCAUAAAACCCAGCAGGUUCCCCCCUCCCUUUUUUUUAAGAUUUUUUUUUCUUCCUGUAGAUAAUAUUCGUAAACAAGUUCUUUAUGGUUAGUAACUGCAAUGCUUGAAGUUGGUUAUCCCUUAUUCUAGUAAAUUUUAAAUGUCAAAGAUAUAGAUAUAGAUACCUUGUUAAAUAAAAAAAAGUAUCAAAAUC
Molecule: long non-coding RNA, 575 nt
Organism: Mastomys coucha (southern multimammate mouse)
Lineage: Eukaryota; Metazoa; Chordata; Mammalia; Rodentia; Muridae
Exons: 3
Source: RefSeq, a predicted model, not a curated record